Salvia hispanica is the source of this 727-nucleotide non-coding RNA. NCBI's taxonomy places the organism in Eukaryota, Viridiplantae, Streptophyta, Magnoliopsida, Lamiales, Lamiaceae. The record is from RefSeq and is a predicted model, not a curated record.
CCCUGGAUUUUGUCUACUGGAAAAUCUGCUCCUGGAUGGCUACAGACACUAUCAGCUUUAGAAGAAAACAAGGAGCUCAGCAAUGUGUGUUCAUCAAGCUUGGUAGAGGUGGAUGACCCACUUGAGUCUGUGAGGACACUAUUCACAUCUCCUGACAAGAAGAGAGCCAAAAUUUGUGGUGGGAGCUGUUAAAUUACCACUCGUAACAUCUUUGUGUCUUAAAUUAGUCUUCUGAAAGCGGUGGACACUCUGGCUUCCCUCAGCAUCAGAGCCCUUCAACUCCUACAACUUGUGACCUGCCAAUUUCUUCUUUGUUUCCCCUUAUUCUUGAAGAAAAUUUUACUUAGCAGGGAGUAGUAGGAUUGGCUAGAACAGAAAUUUUUAGGUGAGAUUUUCAUAAUCACCUCAUAGCUGGUUUGUAUCAUCAUUAAUAUGUUUGCUCAUAGACUCUUUCAACUGUAGAAGUUGAAGGAAAUGGCUUGCUAUCCCACAAAUAUACCUUUUUCUCUGUAGAUCAUGUUCGAUUUAUGUUCUUAACGAAAUCGAGGCGGACGAGGGGAUUACGAUUGGGAGAUGUGGAGGCCGAGAGGAGCGGGAAUCAUGGUUUUUGUUGGGUUGAGAUUAUCUGCUUGGAAUAUGAACGUUGAUUGAUGUUUGUGGAUAGAUAAAUUCACUUGGAUCAUUUAUCUUCAUUCCAAUAUUAAUCUUUUAGUUUUGCUGUUUUUCA